AUUAUUUGUAAUUUUUUGUAUACUAUUUCUAACAAUUGAAGUGAAUUAAUAUGCCUUCAUUGUUGUGAAUAGAGAUUCCAUAAUUUUUGAUAAACUGCAGUGGAAAUGAUGCUUCAGUUUGAUGCUUUUCUAUAGGAUCCAUUACCAUUCAAUAGCUAGGAUUUAACUCAAGGGGUUCAAUCAUGAUGGGAAAAGGUCGUAAUGAUCAACAACGCUCAAUUGAAUAGGUCAUAAUUAAUGAAAACAGUAAGUAACUUCCUAAGACCAUCUCCAACGCUUAAUCAAAUUCAUCAUCAGAUUUGAAUUUGGUGUGAAAAAAUAUCACUUUUAUGGCUCCAACGGUUUCAUUAAACGGACAUCGAAUUGAGAAUAUACCAAAAGUUUCACCAAAAUGAGAAGCGAAGCAGAUUUCACCAAAACACUGUGCGUUUAUGUUGGAAGUGGGUCCCACCGGACUACCGACUGGACGUCCUCCCGGAUGACCACCUUAAGCAAAAUUUUGUGAAAAGGGGGGUCAAGCUAAAUUUCUCCAUUGGAGCAGGUGUUAUCAAAUAGAGGAAAUCGUUUUUUUUUUUUACUCAGAUUUGAUGAAAAAUCUAAUGAACCAUUGGAGAUGCUCUAAAGUACUCUCAAAUAAAAUCGUUUCUACAGUUUUUCAUUAGUUUCAAAUUAGGGAGAUGCUAUGUAAAAAGGUGCAUAUGGUAUGUCUUUCUUAACACUACUACAAAAUUUUGUAACAUAAAUCAUAAAAUGACACAACUUUUCUCACCACAAAAUUAUAACUUUCAUUUUAGAGUGCACACCAUAAAUUCACUAUGCGUAACUUUUACCACAAAUUAACAUAGCAUAACUUUAAAAAAAAAAUCCUAACUUUCUUACGAUAUGCCUUUUUUAGUAGUACACUUUAUAGGAUUUCCUUUCAGGUUAUUAUUAUUAAUUUUUUUGAAAAUGAUUGUUUAAAAGGUUGGUGGUUGAUUAAGAUGAAAAAGUGCUUCCAAAGGAAGAGAGUGGUAAGGCUUCGAAAGGGUUUUUUUCAUUGGUUGCUUUGUCUGUUUGAUGAUUAAUUUGUUUUAGGUAGAACAUUGCAAGGUAUCUUGCCUUUCCAUCUUGCUGGAGUGGCAAGCGUGUUGGUUGAUUUGCUAUGAAGACUUUCCUUUCAUAUUUUUUAGUGAAUCUGGUUGUAUUGAUUAUAUUUUUCAUCAUUUUUUUUAGUUUGAAAUUUGAAAAAAAAGAAAAAAAAUUGGAUUUUAGAUUUUUGUUUUUAUCUUUAUAUUUUGAGUUGUGAUUCACUUAUUUUGAAGAUGCUUCAAUCCGCAGAGUAUGAACAUCUACGUUGAUGAUGAUGAUGAUGAAUUGUGAGUCUGUUAAGGUCAUCUAUAUUAAAAUGAUUAGCUCUGUGUGUCCAUGAAAGCACCAUGUUUUUUAUUCAUGUUGCAGUGAUUUAGUACCAAAACUAGCCUCGAUUGUAGGUUUUUUUAUUUUUAUUUUUAUUUUUUUUUAUUUGGAUUCUGUUAAGUGAAAGCUCUUAGGGAUCUGAUUCUAACUUAUUAUUGAUCUUGUUUUAAUUUGCACUCUCAUUCUGAUAAUGGUGCAGGGAUUUUGUUAAAGGAGCCAGGUGCUAAUUUUUUAGAUUAGUCAGAUCCUCGAUGGAGUUUUAAAGACUGUAUAAUCUUGGACCAGGAAGAAUUUCUUGUUGAAUCCCAAAUUUUUUGAAGUAUUUGCAUUUGCAGUUGCAGGAGCUUGGUGUUUGUUGUUUGUUUUUCAUACAAGGCAAGAGUAAAAGUUUAAUUCAGCAUCAUUACAUCCCAAAAGGUUAAGAAGAGAGAGAAUAUAAUUUAAGAAAAGCAAAGGUUGCUGUCCUGAUACACACAGUGAAAAGAAACUAAUUGCCCUAACAUAUCUACAAGAAAGCUUAGAAGCAUUUUCGGGAACAAAGCUGUACAAGCAACUAAAGUCCAAUGCUGACGAAGCUCGGAUCAGUUUUACUUCCAGCAGCUGAGAAACUACAUUUAACAACAUAAUUCCAUACCUGGAAGUUUUACUUGUCUUGCUGUGGAAUACCAUAAAGUUGCACACAAAUUUUCAUGUAAAGCUGAAUUCUGAGUUGGCUCGUUUAUAUGGCUGUUUAGGUUUCCAGAGCUUGUUAAUACAAUGGCUAUUUGAUGUCUACACUGUAAUGUGGUGGUUGAGCAAGCCUAUAUUUGAAA
Camellia sinensis is the source of this 2207-nucleotide non-coding RNA. NCBI's taxonomy places the organism in Eukaryota, Viridiplantae, Streptophyta, Magnoliopsida, Ericales, Theaceae. The record is from RefSeq and is a predicted model, not a curated record.